RNAcentral lists this ribosomal RNA (425 nucleotides) under uncultured bacterium. Its description in RNAcentral is "partial 16S ribosomal RNA". It matches the Rfam family "Bacterial small subunit ribosomal RNA", at positions 354 to 796 of the family's 1533-position model. The record is from RNAcentral.
GUGGGGAAUCUUAGACAAUGGGGGCAACCCUGAUCUAGCCAUGCCGCGUGAGUGAUGAAGGCCUUAGGGUCGUAAAGCUCUUUCGCCGGGGAAGAUAAUGACUGUACCCGGUAAAGAAACCCCGGCUAACUCCGUGCCAGCAGCCGCGGUAAUACGGAGGGGGUUAGCGUUGUUCGGAAUUACUGGGCGUAAAGCGCGCGUAGGCGGAUCGGAAAGUUGGGGGUGAAAUCCCGGGGCUCAACCCCGGAAUUGCCUUCAAAACUCCCGGUCUUGAGGUCGAGAGAGGUGAGUGGAAUUCCGAGUGUAGAGGUGAAAUUCGUAGAUAUUCGGAGGAACACCAGUGGCGAAGGCGGCUCACUGGCUCGAUACUGACGCUGAGGUGCGAAAGCGUGGGGAGCAAACAGGAUUAGAAACCCUUGUAGUCC